GCGGGUGUAGCUCAGUUGGUUAGAGCGCGGGUUUGUGGUACCUGAGGUCGCCGGUUCAAACCCGGUCACUCGCCCCA
This 77-nucleotide transfer RNA is filed under the name Alphaproteobacteria bacterium. RNAcentral's name for it is "tRNA-His". It matches the Rfam family "tRNA". Rfam says of the family: Transfer RNA (tRNA) molecules are approximately 80 nucleotides in length. The record is from RNAcentral. Lineage: Bacteria; Pseudomonadati; Pseudomonadota; Alphaproteobacteria.